UACGUAGGGUCCGAGCGUUGUCCGGAAUUACUGGGCGUAAAGCGUGCGCAGGCGGUUUUUCAAGACAGAUGUGAAAUCCCCGGGCUCAACCUGGGAAUUGCAUUGGAGACUGCAAGGCUAGAAUCUGGCAGAGGGGGGUAGAAUUCCACGUGUAGCAGUGAAAUGCGUAGAGAUGUGGAGGAACACCGAUGGCGAAGGCAGCCCCCUGGGUCAAGAUUGACGCUCAUGCACGAAAGCGUGGGGAGCAAACAGG
This 253-nucleotide ribosomal RNA is filed under the name uncultured bacterium. RNAcentral's name for it is "partial 16S ribosomal RNA". It matches the Rfam family "Bacterial small subunit ribosomal RNA", at positions 524 to 776 of the family's 1533-position model. The record is from RNAcentral.